This 1301-nucleotide long non-coding RNA is filed under the name Mustela putorius furo (domestic ferret). RNAcentral describes it as "lncRNA (ENSMPUG00000029551.1)". The record is from RNAcentral. Lineage: Eukaryota; Metazoa; Chordata; Mammalia; Carnivora; Mustelidae.
GGGUGGCUCAGUGGGUUAAAGCCUCUGCCUUCGGCUCGGGUCAUGAUCUCAGGGUCCUGGGAUCGAGCCCCGCAUCGGGCUCUCUGCUCUGCGGGGAGCCUACUUCCCUCUCUCUCUCUGCCUGCCUCUCUGCCUACUUGUGAUCUCUGUCAAAUAAAUAAAUAACUCUUAAAAAAAAAAAAAAGAAUCUGCAUCUUUAACAAGUUCCCAGGUGACCCUUCUGCUGCUGCUGGUUGGGACCCACACUUUGAGAACUAGUGGUCUAGUGGUCAAGGAAGGUCUUUGAAAUCACAGAUACAUCUUUAACUAGUCUGUUAUUUGUCAUCUUCUCUGGAGCUAAGAUUUUCCAUCUGUGAGAUGGGGUUCGUGACAACCCGGUCAGGUUAUAGGGAGUCGGUCCAAGUUUCUUGAACACGUAGUAGGGAUUCAGGAAAUAUCCAUUUCUUUCUUCCUCUCCUUUCUUCUGUUCUCGCUCCCUGCCUUCCCCUCUGAAAAGGCGCUGACUCUGAAUCGCCUUUCUUCGUGAGGCUGCUUGGGAAUUCCACAGCAUUGGACAACAAGGGAUGUGUCUCCCCCCAUAUGGUGCUUGUCAUGGAACUCAAACAAAUCAGCCUGGGAAGACCGUCCUCACCAAAUUUGCCAGGCUCCCCGCUGAGCGGAGAGCCCGACGCGGGGCUCGAUCUCAGGACCCUGAGAUCAUGACCUGAGCCGAAGGCAGAGGCCCCAACCCACUGAGCCACCCAAGCGCCCCAGUAUGACAGAUUUAAAGGAUGCACAGCACACGAUUUACAAAUGAUCAACUCCACUGUACUCCUCAUUGUAAAGCCCACAUAGCUGAUUGAUUGCCACUGGAUGCUUUUAUUGAUUUGUGUCCGUAGCCAACCUAUGGUUGCUGCUGACCAGCAAGUAUAGUUUUGACAUGAAUCCAAAAUUGGUUGGUUGAUACUUUCCUGUAUGUUUCCUAGUAAGAUGAAACUGACACAACCAAAGACAGAUUUAGGGAUGUUUGUCCAUGAUAUGAGCGACUCCCUUGCUGAACUGGUUAAUAACAUUGAAUAAUAGAAGAAUUUUUCCUUAAUUUUUUGUGAGAUUAUGACUGCAGACACAACAUACAUUUAAUUUUAAUUUGCAUUAUAUUAUUAUUUGUGUGUUCUCCAUCAUUUUCUUUUAAAAAAAUUGUGUUUUUUUUAAGGGGAGCCCAGCAUGAGACUUCAACUCACAACCCUGAGGUCAAGACCUGAGCUAAGCUCAAGAAUUGGACACUUGGGGCACCUGGGUGGCUCAGUGGGUGAAAACCUCCA